GUCCACCGUCAUUCACUUUCUCAAUAUGCAAAUUCUCAAUUGUGCCCGUUAUGGCGGCAUUUGCUCUGUUUGCCUCCCUGCAAAAACCUAAACCCUGGACACCUCCAUCAGAUCAGAAACCAAAAUGCGUAUUUUCAUUUCCUUCAUUCUCCUCAAAUUCAAUACCAAAACCCUAAAAUCUGUACAAUCCACUCCCUACAACCUCACUUUCAUGAAGUCAAUGUCCCAAUCCACUUCCAUUCCCAGAAAGCAGCAGCGAGUGCGCGACUAUGGCUACGACAAUUACAUGGAAAUCGAGAAGAAAACCCGCAAGGUCCUCAAGUUCCAGUCCCUAAUUCUAUCCCAAAUCAACCAAAAUGUACCAAUUUCUCGCCUUGACAAUCUCGCUCGCCGCCUCGGUUUUAAACUGUACGAGGCCGGCUCUUUUGUAUUGAAAUUCCCCCACGUCUUCGAAGUCUAUGAGCAUCCUGUUCAACGGAUCCUCUACUGUCGUUUAACCCGCAAAGCCCUUCUUCAAAUUCAACAAGAAAAGGAAGCCUUGAUUGCCCAGAUACCCGAUGCUGUCACCCGCUUAAGGAAACUGAUAAUGAUGUCGAACACUGGUCGGCUGCGAUUGGAGCAUGUAAGGAUUGCCAGGUCUGAAUUUGGAUUGCCUGAUGAUUUUGAGUACUCUGUUGUUCUUAAAAAUCCUCAGUAUUUUAGACUAAUAGAUGCUGAUGAAACGAGGAAUAAGUAUAUAGAGAUUGUUGACAGAGACCUCAAAUUAGCUGUUUGCGCAAUAGAGAAAGCUAGGGAGAGAGAGUACAGGGAGAAAGGGAUGAAUGCUGAGGAUAUUCGGUUUUCGUUUAUCAUCAAUUUUCCUCCCGGGUUUAAGAUAGGAAAGUAUUACAGGAUUGCAGUGUGGAAAUGGCAAAGAACACCGUAUUGGUCACCUUAUGAGGAUAUUUCUGGAUAUGAUUUGAGGUCAAUUGAGGCUCAGAAGAGGUUGGAGAAGAGAGCAGUAGCAACUAUUCAUGAAUUGUUGUCAUUGACAGUGGAGAAGAAAAUCACACUGGAGAGGAUAGCACAUUUUAGAAUGGCUAUGAAUUUGCCUAACAAGUUGAAGGAAUUUUGCCUUCAGCAUCAGGGGAUAUUUUAUGUCUCAACAAGAGGGAAUCAUGGUAAGCUGCAUACAGUGUUUCUUAGGGAGGCUUAUAAGAAAGGGGAAUUGGUAGAGCCAAAUGAUUUGUAUUUAGCGAGGAGGAAGUUGGGUGAGUUAGUUUUGAUAAGUCCAAGGAAGGCAAAAGUGGAUGCAGAGCUGGUUAGCUAUAGAAGGGAUAGAGAAGGUGAUGAAUUGGAGCAACUUGGAAGAGACUACGUGGAAAAUAAUUUUGAGGCUAGCAAGGAUGUGCAAGAUGGAGAGUAUGAGGAUGAUUUGAACUCAGACUUGGACAGCGAUGUUGGCACUGAUUAUACUGAUAAUGAUUUUUCAGUAUUACCACGUAUAUAACAGGAGGAUUAGGCUAUGAUUUUGCUUAGCUUGUUUCACUUUCAGCCCUGUACAUGAAUUUUUGUUCUGGGAACAUGUUAUGUAUUGAGGUCAAGGCUGGGGAGCCUGUCAAAGUAACACCUUAUCCUGAAACCAUCAUACAUCUCUCUCAGGGGAGUCGAAGAAAGGAAAUGAAUCAGUGCCCCUUUUUCUAAAGAUUGAUUGAUGAUAAGAAGAUUGUAUUGGGAACUCUUUCUCCUGAAAACAUCCCUCAGUUGCCUUUUGAUUUGGUUUUUGAAAGAGAGGUUGAGCUAUCUCACAACUGGAAAAGUGGGAGUGUCUACUUCUGUGGUUAUAAAAGUCAAUUGCCAGAAGAAGA
Manihot esculenta (cassava) is the source of this 1847-nucleotide RNA transcript. It is a transcript of the gene named protein ROOT PRIMORDIUM DEFECTIVE 1, with no coding region annotated. The record is from RefSeq and is a predicted model, not a curated record. The transcript has 3 exons. Lineage: Eukaryota; Viridiplantae; Streptophyta; Magnoliopsida; Malpighiales; Euphorbiaceae.